CCCCCCCCCCCCAUGGAGCAGAAACGGAUGUCUACACAAGCCUAAGAAGGGAUCUAAGAAGAGAUCUAUUGAGCCUGAGCCAUACCAGAAAGGCUUCCCGCCCAAAAGACGCAACCAUUCCUUUGUUCCGGUCUCAUCUUACCCGGCCACUGUAUCUUAUGAUCCUAACACAGUUGCAGAGCAAGUAACGACGACCGAAGACUUAGAGUCCUUGCAUUUGUUGUCGUCUAAGUGUGAUUUCACACAUAGUACACCAAAGCCCUACCACCCCACGAGUGACUCCAUUGAGAGGGGACAAAAGGACACCCCUUUACAAAAGACAUCUGAUGAGACAAUCCAUGCCGUAGA
Long non-coding RNA from Perca fluviatilis (European perch), 348 nucleotides. RefSeq lists it as uncharacterized. The transcript is spliced from 4 exons. The record is from RefSeq and is a predicted model, not a curated record. NCBI's taxonomy places the organism in Eukaryota, Metazoa, Chordata, Actinopteri, Perciformes, Percidae.